ACGUAGGUGGCGAGCGUUACUCGGAAUUACUAGGCGUAAAGCGCAUGUAGGUGGUUGGAUAAGUCUGUAGUGAAAUUUCCCGGCUCAACUGGGAAGGGUCUACAGAAACUAUCCGGCUUGAGUGUGGCAGGGGGAAACGGAAUUCCCGGUGUAGCGGUGAAAUGCGGAGAGAUCGGGAGGAACACCAGUGGCGAAAGCGGUUCCCUGGACGAAGACUGACGCUGAGGUGCGAAAGCUAGGGGAGCAAACAG
This 251-nucleotide ribosomal RNA is filed under the name uncultured prokaryote. Its description in RNAcentral is "partial 16S rRNA". It matches the Rfam family "Bacterial small subunit ribosomal RNA", at positions 525 to 775 of the family's 1533-position model. The record is from RNAcentral.